This 393-nucleotide ribosomal RNA is filed under the name uncultured bacterium. Its description in RNAcentral is "bacterial SSU rRNA". It matches the Rfam family "Bacterial small subunit ribosomal RNA", at positions 30 to 429 of the family's 1533-position model. The record is from RNAcentral.
AUUGAACGCUGGCGGCAUGCCUUACACAUGCAAGUCGAACGGCAGCACGGGGCAACCUGGUGGCGAGUGGCGAACGGGUGAGUAAUGCAUCGGAACGUGCCAUUGAGUGGGGGAUAACGUAGCGAAAGUUGCGCUAAUACCGCAUAUUCUGUGAGCAGGAAAGCAGGGGACCGCAAGGCCUUGCGCUCUUUGAGCGGCCGAUGUCAGAUUAGCUAGUUGGUGAGGUAACGGCUUACCAAGGCGACGAUCUGUAGCGGGUCUGAGAGGAUGAUCCGCCACACUGGAACUGAGACACGGUCCAGACUCCUACGGGAGGCAGCAGUGGGAAUUUUGGACAAUGGGCGCAAGCCUGAUCCAGCCAUGCCGCGUGAGUGAAGAAGGCCUCGGUGUAAG